Molecule: long non-coding RNA, 1960 nt
Filed under: Monodelphis domestica (gray short-tailed opossum)
Lineage: Eukaryota; Metazoa; Chordata; Mammalia; Didelphimorphia; Didelphidae
Description: lncRNA (ENSMODG00000042290.1)
Source: RNAcentral
CUAUCAGUAAAGUAUUUUAAUUAUAAAACAUUAUUCUAAAGUAAAGUUGGAUCAAAACAAAAAUCAAAUUGUUUACUGAAAUCAUACAAUAAAACAUAGUUUAUACUUAAAGUCAUUGAAUUUUAGAACAUAAAGCAAACUUAGAAACCAGCCCCUCAUCAGAUAAUAGUAUAUAAAAGACCCUUGCUCUAGUUUAUUUCCUGUUCUUUCUAUUGGAUGGUCCUGCAAUCUGUGGCAAUUACACUGAAGGUGAUAUAUGAAAUUAUUAUUAUUUUUUUAAACUCUUACCUUCCAUCUUAGAAUCAAUACUGUUUAUUGGCUCCAAGGCAGAAGAGUGGUAAGGGUUGGGCAAUGGAAGUCAAGUGACUUGCCCAGGGUCACACAGUUGGGAAGUGUCUGAGGUCAAAUUUGAACCCAGGAUCUCCCACCUCUAAAUCCACUGAGCCACCCAGCUGCCCCCUAUAUGAAAUUAUUUUGAGUAGUAGAAAUGAGUCUCUAGUUAAACUCUAAGUUUCAGUUCAAACUGCAUUAGAGACGAGUUUAUCUUUUCCCAUUUCCCCUCAGCAUUAACCAGUAGUUUGAAUAAACAAGCUGCAUGCAGGAAGGGAUGACCCUGCCCUUCCCACACGAUUUCAGCACCGGGGAAAGUUGUCAAUACAGAUAACAAGUACAUAAAUACAGCAGGAGCCCCGGAAAAGCAUCUGGGAACUAAGCGUUCCCCGUCCGCACUGCUGAGAGAAUAAUUGAAAAUGCUGUACAAGUGACAGAGACCUUCGGAGCGUUCCCAAUGGCUGUGGUCUGGAAAGACAGGCCGGUUUGCUCCGGGAAGAGUCAGAUCAAGGAUGACGGCGGCAUCUUUGGGGGAGGCAUGUCACAGAUGGCAAGUGCGAAUGAGGGUGAAGACUCCCUCCAGGUCCUCUGACUUCAGAGCCAGUGAUGUGGUCUCUACAUUACCUCCUUCGGUUGUUAUGAGAACCACAGAAAGCAGGAGCCUUGCUUUGGAAGAUGAAAUUCCACAUCUAAAGUAUAAAGCAGGGACACCAAAGCACUCAUCCAAAAUGGAACCCAUGGUGGAGAACCUAUUGCCUAAGUAAUAAUUGAAGUUAUUUGCUGGAAGUUGAAGGCAACUAUAGGUGAAGAGACAUAGAGAUAACCAUUUUCUGUAAGCUACCAACAAAGAAUCUUGUUCAGUUUGGAUGAGGAACCAUGGCAAGGAAUGGUGACUGAUUAGAGGAAGUAUUUUCUGGGAAUUGAUAAAAGGCAAGACUUUAAGUGACCGAAACGGUAUCUUCCUUUGGAGAAGGUUGCUCCCAGGUGAAUGUGGUUAUUUCCUAUUUGCUAUUGUGUGAACCCUAUUUACUCACUUUAACUUUUAAAUAAGCCUACUUAUUCUUUGAGUCCUAUGAACCAUAUAUUUACAAAGGGAGUUGGUAAUAACACUCUUGGUGGUGUCAGACAGUGAAUUUUUCAAGUAAUCUAGUUGGGGGGAAAAUGAACCAGAGAAGGGAUCCCAGUUUGUUGUUGUUCAGCUUUAUCUGACUCUUAAUAAUACCUUGGAACAGAUUGUUCAUGGAGUUUUCUUGACAAAGAUACUAGAUUGUUUGACACCACAUUUGAACUCCCGUCUUCCUGAUUCCAGACCCAGCACUCUAUCCCCUGAACCACUAGCUGCCCCAAAGUUUAUCUGGGGCUUCUAUGACAUCUGAGAGCCUCUGAUUCUAGAGUAACAUGAUAAAAUCAAUAGCAAAAUAGAAAUCAUCAUGCUUGAAAGCCAUUUCCCACCAUUUAAAUGGACUAUACCAUUUUCCUGAGACAGUGGCUAUGUGCCUUCCACUGAGUGUGUGCAGAUGGGAAACUGGUGUGAAGGGGAAUUGUGGGAAGAGUGGCAUUGUUAGCAUUCUGUUGCCUUUAAAAUGAUAUUGCAUAAAAAUUUAAAUAAAUAAAAGAAAAAAGAAAAACA